Molecule: long non-coding RNA, 387 nt
Organism: Cyprinus carpio (common carp)
Lineage: Eukaryota; Metazoa; Chordata; Actinopteri; Cypriniformes; Cyprinidae
Exons: 3
Source: RefSeq, a predicted model, not a curated record
GGAUGUUUCGGUGAAUGCUGGUCGUGCCAUUAUCUUCAUAAAUAUUAAUGGUCGCUAUGAUCUCUCCCUUCCUUUGGUAACCUGUAAGUCUUGCCUAAAAUCGUGGACACCUGAGGUCAAAGACCUUAUAUUAAAUGGGUACUGGCCUGGAACCAUUGAGUUUCAAACAGUUUACACUGUCGACCUGUUCAGUACCUUUGAAGACUUUAAAGUCACGGCACCUGGCCUAUCCAGACAGGCCUUUGUGAGAAUGCUGCAAAGCCGCUCAAUGCGUUCUGGCAGAGUUGGUACAAUAUCAGUGGACUGUUUUCAGCGCAGUUUUCUGGAAUGGACAUACUGUAGACAUGAGAUGGAAACACUCCUUGGAGAUUACCAUUUCUCCAGUCC